ACAGUGUCUGGUGGGUAGUUUGACUGGGGCGGUCUCCUCCUAAAGAGUAACGGAGGAGCACGAAGGUUGGCUAAUCCUGGUCGGACAUCAGGAGGUUAGUGCAAUGGCAUAAGCCAGCUUGACUGCGAGCGUGACGGCGCGAGCAGGUGCGAAAGCAGGUCAUAGUGAUCCGGUGGUUCUGAAUGGAAGGGCCAUCGCUCAACGGAUAAAAGGUACUCCGGGGAUAACAGGCUGAUACCGCCCAAGAGUUCAUAUCGACGGCGGUGUUUGGCACCUCGAUGUCGGCUCAUCACAUCCUGGGGCUGAAGUAGGUCCCAAGGGUAUGGCUGUUCGCCAUUUAAAGUGGUACGCGAGCUGGGUUUAGAACGUCGUGAGACAGUUCGGUCCCUAUCUGCCGUGGGCGCUGGAGAAUUGAGGGGGGCUGCUCCUAGUACGAGAGGACCGGAGUGGACGCAUCACUGGUGUUCGGGUUGUCAUGCCAAUGGCACUGCCCGGUAGCUAAAUGCGGAAGAGAUAAGUGCUGAAAGCAUCUAAGCACGAAACUUGCCCCGAGAUGAGUUCUCCCUGACUCCUUGAGAGUCCUGAAGGAACGUUGAAGACGACGACGUUGAUAGGCCGGGUGUGUAAGCGCAGCGAUGCGUUGAGCUAACCGGUACUAAUGAACCGUGAGG
Molecule: ribosomal RNA, 671 nt
Filed under: Escherichia coli
Lineage: Bacteria; Pseudomonadati; Pseudomonadota; Gammaproteobacteria; Enterobacterales; Enterobacteriaceae
Description: partial 23S ribosomal RNA
Rfam family: Bacterial large subunit ribosomal RNA
Source: RNAcentral